GGGCCCAUAGCUCAGCUGGUUAGAGCAGCGGACUCAUAAUCCGUUGGUCCCAGGUUCGAGUCCUGGUGGGCCCACCA
RNAcentral lists this transfer RNA (77 nucleotides) under Pseudomonadales bacterium. RNAcentral describes it as "tRNA-Ile". It matches the Rfam family "tRNA". Rfam says of the family: Transfer RNA (tRNA) molecules are approximately 80 nucleotides in length. The record is from RNAcentral. RNAcentral also lists the same sequence under 3 other names. Lineage: Bacteria; Pseudomonadati; Pseudomonadota; Gammaproteobacteria; Pseudomonadales.